Long non-coding RNA from Oxyura jamaicensis (ruddy duck), 1496 nucleotides. RefSeq lists it as uncharacterized. The record is from RefSeq and is a predicted model, not a curated record. NCBI's taxonomy places the organism in Eukaryota, Metazoa, Chordata, Aves, Anseriformes, Anatidae. The transcript has 2 exons.
GAGGGUUACCUCUGUGGGGCUGGUCCCACCUAGAGGGGGGAGUAAAGGAGGGUGGGGGGGUGCUUGGAGGCGCAGAGCCAGGAUCCCCCCCCCCCCUUUUUUUUCUUUUUUUUUUUUGGUUGGUUUUCCUUUUUUCCCCCCUUUUUUGGUGGGGUGUGUGUGUUGUUGUUAUUGUGGUGAUGGUGGUUGGAAGAUUGGAAUCAAACAAGCAAACAAAAGCAAAAAGGCAGCGAGCGGGAGAGGGAAGCUUCUCCUUAUUGAUUGGCUGAUUCUUGCUGUCCUUCUUUUAAGAAAAUAAAGGCAGAAAAUUAUGGGGAGUUAUUAUUAUUUUUUUUUUUCUUGCUUCCUUUCGAGCCAACCACUGAAAAUCCACGGCUGGAAAUAACAGGGAAGCGUCCUUCCAAGGGAAUAAAGUAGACCAUUGCUUAAAGAGAGCUACUUUGGAAGGAAGAGGAGAAGUGAGACAGAAAUGGUGUUGGCGUGCCCCUCUCCCAGACUUUUUGCACCGUGAGUGACCACUCGCUGCAACCUUUCACUUCGGACACUUCAUUUUACGACCGCACGAAGGAACUCAGCUCAUUAAAAAAUCACCUCAAAUCACUGGGAUUCGCCUUAAUUUUUCAAGGCGUGGGGAGGGGAGGGGGGUGGGCGAGACACUUCGCAAAGGAAUAUUUUCCGUAGAGUCCCGAGCCGCCAAAAUAUCCAGCCCACGUCUGUAAAUGACAUAGUGUUAUACCAGUCCCCGUGUUUCCUUCAAAAGUCUACAGCCCUUUAAAUGUUUCCCUCAUGUUCCUCCACAAAAAGCAGCCUAAUUAUUUUCAGAAGAGACCUGGGGAACUCUGGCCGAUUUCAAGUGUGGAGGGAGAAAAUCCCACCUCAGCUGCGCUUGCAGAGGUGAUUUUAGGUGUUUUUCUUCCCAGCAAAGGUCACAUUCUCGAUUUUUUUGAGGCAAGGGGUGGCUCAACCCUCUGGUGAGACAGAAACUGGAUUUUUUAGCAGCUCCUUUCCCAAGAAGAGGAAAGGGCACAGUAGCCACUCAGUCCAUCUUUAUUAGAUUUUCAGAAAUAGGGGGUGUAUUUUUCCCUUCAGAGGGGCUACAUGUGUUGGGUUUUUCCUCCCCGUAUGCAGACAAUGAACUGUGCAGGAGAACGGUGAUUUUUCCACCGCCUAUUGUGAAAAUACUUUUAAAAAACAAGCUGCGUUAGCUGUGAAGAAAUAGUCUCCAUACCCGAAUAAGCUCAAGGACGGCACAAUGACCAUAUUCAUUUUUCCAGUACGCACCCACCUUCGUCCCCCAUACCCCAGGUUGCCCAUUCCAUACAGAAACCCCCCAAAACAGAAGAAAAGGGCAGUUAGGGACAGAGGCUCCUUAAUUAACAGCUAAUAGUCGAGGUAACUAUUUUCCUCCUCUAAUCAAUAGCAUUUCUAUUUUUAAAAUCCCAGUGCCUGCCCAUGCACUAAAAGCUGCUGUGCAAAUAGAAGGAUGGGAAAGCACA